Molecule: ribosomal RNA, 1306 nt
Filed under: uncultured bacterium
Lineage: Bacteria
Description: bacterial SSU rRNA
Rfam family: Bacterial small subunit ribosomal RNA
Source: RNAcentral
AACGUACGCUGGCGGCACGCCUAACACAUGCAAGUCGAACGAAGUAGCAAUACUUAGUGGCAGACGGGUGAGUAACAUGUGGGUAUCUGCCCUUUGGCCUGGAAUAACACGAGGAAACUUGUGCUAAUACCGGAUAAGUCUUUACGGAGAAAGCUUUAUGCACCAUUGGAUGAGCCCGCACUUGAUUAGUUUGUUGGUGGGGUAAUGGCCUACCAAGACUGUGAUCAAUAGCUGAUUUGAGAGGAUGAUCAGCCACAUUGGGACUGAGACACGGCCCAAACUCCUACGGGAGGCAGCAGUGGGGAAUCUUGCACAAUGGAGGAAACUCUGAUGCAGCGAUGCCGCGUGAGUGAAGAAGGCCCUUGGGUUGUAAAGCUCUUUCGUCGGGGAAGAAAAUGACUGUACCCGAAUAAGAAGGUCCGGCUAACUUCGUGCCAGCAGCCGCGGUAAUACGAAGGGACCUAGCGUAGUUCGGAAUUACUGGGCUUAAAGAGUUCGUAGGUGGUUGAAAAAGUUAGUGGUGAAAUCCCAGAGCUUAACUCUGGAACUGCCAUUAAAACUUUUCAGCUAGAGUAUGAUAGAGGAAAGCAGAAUUUCUAGUGUAGAGGUGAAAUUCGUAGAUAUUAGAAAGAAUACCAAUUGCGAAGGCAGCUUUCUGGAUCAUUACUGACACUGAGGAACGAAAGCAUGGGUAGCGAAGAGGAUUAGAUACCCUCGUAGUCCAUGCCGUAAACGAUGUGUGUUAGACGUUGGAAAUUUAUUUUCAGUGUCGCAGCGAAAGCGACAAACACACCGCCUGGGGAGUACGACCGCAAGGUUAAAACUCAAAUGAAUUGACGGGGACCCGCACAAGUAGUGGAGCAUGUGGUUUAAUUCGAAGAUACGCGCAGAACCUUACCAACACUUGACAUGUUCGUCGCGACUCUAAGAGAUUAGAGUUUUCGGUUCGGCCGGACGAAACACAGGUGCUGCAUGGCUGUCGUCAGCUCGUGUCGUGAGAUGUUGGGUUAAGUCCCGCAACGAGCGCAACCCUCACUUUUAGUUGCCAUCAUUAAGUUGGGCACUCUGAAAGAACUGCCAGUGAUAAGCUGGAGGAAGGUGGGGAUGACGUCAAGUCCUCAUGGCCCUUACGUGUUGGGCUACACACGUGCUACAAUGGUAUCUACAACAGGAAGCAAGACUGCGAGGUCAAGCAAAUCCUUAAAAGAUACCUCAGUUCGGAUUGCACUCUGCAACUCGAGUGCAUGAAGCUGGAAUUACUAGUAAUCGUGGAUCAGCGUGCCACGGUGAAUGCGUUCCCGGGUCU